Molecule: long non-coding RNA, 1178 nt
Filed under: Hermetia illucens (black soldier fly)
Lineage: Eukaryota; Metazoa; Arthropoda; Insecta; Diptera; Stratiomyidae
Description: uncharacterized LOC119654912, transcript variant X1
Source: RNAcentral
UGCAAGAAUAAAUACCCACACCAACGAAAAAGAAACAACAAGUUUUAUUAUUUCAAUUCUAUGAUUCUAAGUAUAAUUUUUGAGGUUUUGAGGGUUGAAGGAGGAAUUGCAAUGCUCUCAUAUCUCACAGAAGUAAUUGCUGGCAAUCCAUUUGAUUCAAAAUAUCACUUUGCAGUGAAAACGCAAACCGCUUGCUUUUGGCUUGACUUCAUAAUACAUAAAUUUUUGUUACUUCGAUCACCAUCAAAACAAACGUAAAUCAGUGUGAAUUUAUCUGAACUUAAUACAAUGGGAAGGGAAAUUUUCAAUCAAUUUUUUAAAAAAGUUUAUCAGGACAGUCGUAUUCAAGUCAAAGGAAAUUGUUUUUUUCAAUUUUUCCCUGAAUUUUCAUUUGGCCUUAAGAGGAGUGUAUUAUUCAGUUUUGUUGUCACCAGCGAGUGGAGAACUAAUGUAUAAUUGUUAAUUUCAUUGUUUGCUUCCAACACUAAGAGGUUAGAGAAAGUGGGUCAGAAGAGUACCCUGUGUUCUAGCCAUAACUUACAAUGGUGGCGUUUGUAAUAUCUUAUCAAAGGUGAGAUAAAAGUAAAAUGCGGAGAAUAGAGCAGACCACUAUGAACUGUGAUUUCACUUUGAUAUAGAAAUCGACGAAUAAAAACUAUAAAGUACGAUAUUGUUCCAAUCGGUGGUAAAAAUUAUCGUCGUUGCCUAGGGCUGGUAUGAUGUCCAUCACAUCCAAUACCACGGUACGGUAUUGACAACGUAACCAAGAUUCCAGUUAUUCAAGGAUGAAAUUGUCACUUGAGUGCAUAUAUAAUCAAAUUUGCUCAGGUUAAAUUCACGCUGUGUCUUUAUAGAAGGCAAAUUGCCUGAAACCCCACUUUGAUAGUCUCGGAUAAGAAGGAAGUUUAAGCCAACCGUCGUUUUUAUUAUUUAAAAUGAAAUGAAUACAAUAAUCCUCAUGGCUCCGGUAGUCUCAUAUAUACUAUCAAUCUGGCAUUCAAUUUACUUAGUCGGCGUUGAUUUGUGUUCUGUUAAAGUAGACUUGUAGUACGCAAUUGCAAAAGUUCAGAUAUCGGCCGGUUGCUGUCGUUCUUUAUUGACUUAAUAUUCCUGUUUAAUUGCUUUAAGGCUCUGGAUUUUACUGAAUAAAGUUGUUAACCAAAGAGAAAAAUUCGGUC